GGGGGUAUAGCUCAGUGGUAGAGCACAUGCUUAGGAUACAUGAGGUCCUGGGUUCAAUCUCCAGUACUUCCU
RNAcentral lists this transfer RNA (72 nucleotides) under Camelus bactrianus (Bactrian camel). It matches the Rfam family "tRNA". Rfam says of the family: Transfer RNA (tRNA) molecules are approximately 80 nucleotides in length. Their secondary structure includes four short double-helical elements and three loops (D, anti-codon, and T loops). RNAcentral also lists the same sequence under 2 other names. The record is from Rfam by way of RNAcentral. Lineage: Eukaryota; Metazoa; Chordata; Mammalia; Artiodactyla; Camelidae.